RNAcentral lists this long non-coding RNA (401 nucleotides) under Cricetulus griseus (Chinese hamster). RNAcentral describes it as "lncRNA (ENSCGRG00015005696.2)". Lineage: Eukaryota; Metazoa; Chordata; Mammalia; Rodentia; Cricetidae. The record is from RNAcentral.
ACAAUGAGAAUAAAUGUGUAAAAUGAUAAAGCGGGAACUUUGGGAGUCUAGUGGAAAGUUGGGGGCUCAGGAGAUGUGCGUGAGGAGACAGUUGGCGGUACAGCUGCAGCGACUGCUUUGUGGUUACAAAGUGCCUGGUGGGCCCAAGAUGAAAGCCUGGAGAUUUAUACUGCAGUCAUCUACAACACCAUCACAGUUUGGAAGGCACGCCUUCUAUCAGGAGAAACACACUGGACAAAUAAUCCUAAGAGGAGAUUCAGGAAAAGGAUCCCCACUCACUGCCUAUGGAGGAGAGUUCAGAGACCUGACUUUGAUGUACCAAUCCACUCUCAGAGGCUCUCUUUCGGUCUUGCUUGCGUCCUGCUGAGGAGUGAAGCACAAGACUCCCGAAGCAACCUGUA